Tarenaya hassleriana is the source of this 2177-nucleotide long non-coding RNA. RefSeq lists it as uncharacterized. The record is from RefSeq and is a predicted model, not a curated record. The transcript is spliced from 9 exons. NCBI's taxonomy places the organism in Eukaryota, Viridiplantae, Streptophyta, Magnoliopsida, Brassicales, Cleomaceae.
AGAAAAUCAUUUGUUUGAAAUCUGAGGAAUUGGAAAAUGGUGAUUUCGAAUUGGGCUUUCUCUGCGAUUUCCGCUGUUGCCCUUUUCGUUUCUUGCUCAUUUGCCCUCACUCCAGAUGGGCAAGCGUUGUUGGAGUUGAAGAUCGCGCUGAAUGAUAGUAGGAAUCUUCUUGAAAACUGGAGAGAUUCCGAUGAAUCUCCAUGUUCAUGGACUGGAAUCUCUUGUCAGCCUCACGACCACAGAGUCGUCUCCAAUCCAUGGAGGCAUUCCAUCAGAUAUUGAAAACCUUACUUCUCUUGCUAUAUUGGAUAUAUCAAGCAAUACUCUGAAGGGUGCAAUUCCUUCUUCUCCUACCCGACUGUCACGGUUAUGGCUCCCUUUAAGUAAAAUCAGACUAUGUUUUGUCUGCUGAUCUUGGAGAUUUAGCAUUGAACAAUUUGGAAGAUUUUGUUAAGGUUCUGAUGCUCGAACCACUCCUUAGAGAAACUCCAGCAGCUUUAUUGAACACCCAAACCAUACACUUCGGAUAGCUUUGAUUAGAGAGAGGCUCCUACUCUCUUCCCCACCCAGUUCUCCACCAGAAAAUCCCCUUCCCUUUCCCCCUCCUCCUCCUUUCUUUAUACAAUCCCCUCCCUAACAGAAUCCUCUAACUACUACCAACCCUAAGGAAACAACUAACAAAACAGCCAAACAAAUGUCAACACCUAUAUGCUAUCUACACACACAAACAACCACCACACUAGCUGCAUACCUUUGCCCCUAAUCCUUCUGUAGUACUUAUCAGAUUUCUCUGCUAAUACUUUGUUCUUUUGUUUCGGGAACUUGUCAACCAAUGGCGAGGUCCCAGAUUUCGGAGUUCUUAGUGAGUUUGGCGCUGAAUCAUUCAUUGGCAAUUUGGUCCUUUGUGGUCGACAACUUCACAAGCCGUGUAGAACAUGAAUGGGAUCCCAAGUUGUUCUUCCUCAUGCAGAAGCGACGAUGCAGCAGGCAAUAUCAUGCCCAUUAUGGCUUGUAUUCGCUUUUCAGUUGCUUACAGGUACAAAGCUUAUAACUUUCCACUGCGAUCUUCCCUACUCCUCUGGCAAGCUCAUAGAGAAGCUGGAGUCUCUUAACGAGGAAAAUAUCGUGGGUUCCGGAGGAUUUGGUAAAGUCUACCGCAUGGUAAUGAACGAUUGUGGAACCUUUGCCGUGAAGAUAAUAGAUCGGAGUCGUGAAGGAUCUGACCAAGUGUUUGAGGGAGAAGUGGAGAUACUAGGUAUUGUCAAGCACAUGAAUUUGGUUAACUUACGAGGAUAUUCCCGCCUUCCUUCUUCAAGGCUUCUCAUGUAUGACUAUCUCACCAUUGGCAGCUUGGACGAUCUUCUUCACGGUGUACGAGCCCAAGAAGAUCGGACGUUGAAUUGUAGUGCCCGUUGGAGAAUAGCACUGGGUUCUGCUCGGGGGAAAGCGUACUUGCAUCAUGACUGUAGUCCCAAGAUAGUUCACCGAGACAUAAAAUCAAGUAACAUCCUACUCGAUGACAAGUUGGAGCCUCAUGUCUGUCUCUGACUUUGGUCUCGCAAAACUUCUGGUUGACGAAGAGGCUCAUGUCACCACCGUCGUUACUGGCACCUUCGACUAUUUGGCCCCAGAGUAUCACAAAUUACCGGGAGAGCAACCGAGAAAUCCGGCGUCUAUAGAUUCGGUGUUCUUCUGCUCGAGCAUGUCACCGGAAAAAGAUCCGAUAUUCGUAAAACAAGAUGAACACUCUACUGAAAGAAAACAGGACAGAGGAGUUAGUGGACAAGAGAUGUGUACGGACGCCGAUGCGGAAACAGUGGAUGCUGUGGUUGAAAUGGCGGCGAGGCGUACGGACGGUGACCCAGAGGACCGUUCCCGACCAUGAACGAGGCGGUGCAGUUGCUUGAGCAAGAAGUAACGACUCCUCGUCCGACCGAUUUCUACGACUCCCAUUCCGACAUACUGCCAAGUAAUUAUCCUGAAUGAUAAGUUUCGAGCUGAUGAAUCCGUACGAUGGACGUACGUAUGCAUGGUCAUGCAUGAGAAUGAGCAUGUGAUUUUUGUAACAAAAGAAAAAAAAUCUUGACCUUUUAUACAACCCUAAUUAACUAUCCAAAAAAACACUGUUAUGGCCAAAAUAACAUUGAAUUGAAUUUAAUUUCAGAUAUAUUUUUUUA